UUUCCGUAGGUGAACCUGCGGAAGGAUCAUUCAUAAUAAAGCGUUUUAUGGCACUUUUUAAAAAUCCAUAUCCACCUUGUGUGCAAUGUUAGAUCUCGUCAAUCUUGGCGAGAUUUUUAUACAUCAACUCAUUCUUUAACUAAUUUGUCUGAAAAAUAUUAUGAAUACUUGAUUCAAAAUACAACUUUCAACAACGGAUCUCUUGGCUCUC
This 211-nucleotide unclassified non-coding RNA is filed under the name plant metagenome. Its description in RNAcentral is "partial contains small subunit ribosomal RNA, internal transcribed spacer 1, and 5.8S ribosomal RNA". The record is from RNAcentral.